CUGGCCUUAAACCCGAAAGAGCAAACAACAGUAGUGUUGAAUUUCAGUGGCUAAGAAAAACUCCCUAAGAAGGCAAACAUUAGGAAGAAACCUAGAGAGGACCCAGGCUCAGAGUGGUGACCAGUCCACUUCUAGCUGGUUUAGGUCACACUCUCAUGGUAUUGAUGGCUGGUGUAGGUCACACUCUCAUGGAAUUGAUGGCUGGUGUAGGUCACACUCUCAUGGUAUUGAUGGCUGAGUAGGUACUGAAGUCAGAGUUCUGGAUUUUAUUCUUCUUCUUUGGUCUCUUCUGUCCUUGACGGAUGUCCAAUGAGGCAUAACACAGGUCUUCUUCCUC
This is a long non-coding RNA of Esox lucius (northern pike), 337 nucleotides long. Lineage: Eukaryota; Metazoa; Chordata; Actinopteri; Esociformes; Esocidae. The record is from Ensembl.